RNAcentral lists this ribosomal RNA (376 nucleotides) under uncultured eukaryote. RNAcentral's name for it is "SSU rRNA". It matches the Rfam family "Eukaryotic small subunit ribosomal RNA", at positions 587 to 972 of the family's 1831-position model. The record is from RNAcentral.
AGCUCCAAUAGCGUAUAUUAAAGUUGUUGUGGUUAAGAAGCUCGUAGUUGGAUUUCUGCUAAGAAUGACCGGUCCGCCCGCUGGGUGAGCAUCUGGCUUGGCCUUGGCAUAUGCUUGGGUAGCACUUCCGCACUUGAUUGUGUGGUGUGGUGUCCAAGGUGUUUACUUUGAGGAAAUCAGAGUGCUUGUAGCAGGUUAUUGCCAUGAAUACACUAGCAUGGAAUAAUAAGAUAAGCUUUGGUUUUUUGUUGGUUUUAAAAUUGAAGUGAUGAUUAACAGGGGCAGUUGGGGGCAGUUGUAUUUAAUUGUCAGAGGUGAAAUUCUUGGAUUUGUUAAAGACAAACUAUUGCGAAAGCAUUUGCCAAGGAUGUUUUCU